GUGUUCACUUCAGCCGUACAAGUACUAAAAUUGGAACAAUAUAGCAUGGUCCCUGCACAAUGAUGACACACAAAUUCGUGAAGCAUUCCAUAUUUUU
This 97-nucleotide small nuclear RNA is filed under the name Carlito syrichta (Philippine tarsier). The record is from RNAcentral. Lineage: Eukaryota; Metazoa; Chordata; Mammalia; Primates; Tarsiidae.